This 253-nucleotide ribosomal RNA is filed under the name uncultured bacterium. RNAcentral describes it as "partial 16S ribosomal RNA". It matches the Rfam family "Bacterial small subunit ribosomal RNA", at positions 524 to 776 of the family's 1533-position model. The record is from RNAcentral.
UACGUAGGUCGCAAGCGUUGUCCGGAUUUACUGGGCGUAAAGAGCGCGCAGGCGGCUGGUCAAGUCCGAUGUGAAAUCUCCCGGCUCAACUGGGAAACUGCAUCGGAAACUGAUCGGCUUGAAGAUGGGAGAGGGUAGUGGAAUUCCCGGUGUAGUGGUGAAAUGCGUAGAUAUCGGGAGGAACACCAGUGGCGAAGGCGGGUCUCUGGACAGUUCCUGACGCUGAGGCACGAAGGUCAGGGGAGCAAACGGG